CAGGCAGCAGGGUCGGCAAGAUGGUAUCUCAGGAUCAGAUCCUCAUAUCCCUAUUGCUGUGGGUCUCUGGGGCCUAUGGAGCUAUCACAGUGACCCAGUCUCCACGCUCUCUGACUGGGUCUGUAGGAGAGACUGUUGCCAUCAACUGCAAGUCCAGUCAGAGUCUUUUGUGGAGCAGCAACAAUAAGAACUACUUAGCCUGGUACCAGAAAAAACCAGAACAGGCUCCCAGGCUGCUCAUCUCCUGGGCAUCCACUCGGGAAUCUCAGAUCCCUGACCGGUUUAUUGGCAGUGGGUCUGGGUCAGAUUUCACUCUCACCAUAAACAACCUCCAAGCGGAAGAUGUGGGAGAUUAUUACUGUCAGCAAUAUUAUGAGAACCCUUGCACAGUGCUUCAACCUCACACAAAAACCUCCCCAGGCCAUGGGUCAGUGAACCUUGGGGCACCACCUGCUUCCUCCUCAUACAUUCUUGAACUUGCAGCUUCUGCUCUGCCUGAGAGAUCAUGUUCCUCAUUUAUUCCACUAGAGGGUCUGCAGGAUGGGCCAAGAGAAAAUUAUGUAACACGGAUGUUUCUGGAUCCAAUGCUUUGGUUGGAGAUUUUUAAAAAUGCUAUAAAUAUCUUUAAAAGUGAUUGUUAG
Molecule: non-coding RNA, 641 nt
Organism: Heterocephalus glaber (naked mole-rat)
Lineage: Eukaryota; Metazoa; Chordata; Mammalia; Rodentia; Bathyergidae
Source: the annotation of a RefSeq genome assembly